Molecule: ribosomal RNA, 406 nt
Filed under: uncultured bacterium
Lineage: Bacteria
Description: partial 16S ribosomal RNA
Rfam family: Bacterial small subunit ribosomal RNA
Source: RNAcentral
AUUGAACGCUGGCGGCAGGCCUAACACAUGCAAGUCGAACGAGUGGCGGACGGGUGAGUAAUGUCUGGGAAACUGCCCGAUGUCGGGGGAUAACUACUGGAAACGGUAGCUAAUAACGCAUACCAGCGGAUGUGCCCAGAGGGGAUUAGCUAGUGGGUGGGGUAACGGGUCACCUGGGCGACGAUGCCUAGCUGGUCUGAGAGGAUGAGCAGCCACACUGGAACGAAGACACGUUCCAGACUCCUACGGGAGGCAGCAGUGGGGAAAGUUGCACAUUUGGCGCAAGCCGGAUGCAGCCAUGCCGCGGAUAUGAAGAAGGCCUUCGGGUUGUACAGGUCUUUAAGCGAGGAGGCGUUACUCGCAGAAGAAGCACCGGCUAACUACGUGCCAGCAGCCGCGGUAAUAC